Molecule: ribosomal RNA, 393 nt
Filed under: uncultured bacterium
Lineage: Bacteria
Description: bacterial SSU rRNA
Rfam family: Bacterial small subunit ribosomal RNA
Source: RNAcentral
CUUGAGAGUGCCCUUCGGGGAACUGUAAGACAGGUGGUGCAUGGUUGUCGUCAGCUCGUGUCGUGAGAUGUUGGGUUAAGUCCCGCAACGAGCGCAACCCCUAUGUUUAGUUGCUAGCGAGUAAGGUCGAGCACUCUAGACAGACUGCCGGUGAUAAACCGGAGGAAGGUGGGGAUGACGUCAAAUCAUCAUGCCCCUUAUGUUCUGGGCUACACACGUGCUACAAUGGCCGGUACAAACGGAAGCGAAGCCGCGAGGUGAAGCAAAUCUGAUAAAACCGGUCUCAGUUCGGAUUGCAGGCUGCAACUCGCCUGCAUGAAGUCGGAAUCGCUAGUAAUCGCAGGUCAGCAUACUGCGGUGAAUACGUUCCCGGGCCUUGUACACACCGCCCGU